RNAcentral lists this long non-coding RNA (667 nucleotides) under Volvox carteri. Its description in RNAcentral is "long non-coding RNA (VCAR_LNC004243)". Lineage: Eukaryota; Viridiplantae; Chlorophyta; Chlorophyceae; Chlamydomonadales; Volvocaceae. The record is from RNAcentral.
CCCAAAGUCUCCGUCCCCUUUAGUUCAUCCCCUUUAGGGGAACUAAAGGGGAUGAAGAAGUUCCCCUUCGGGGAGGAACACCCNCUUUAGUUCAUCCCCGAAGGGGAACCCCUUCGUCAUCCCCUAAAGGGGAACCGUAGGGGAGUUCUUCCCCUUUAGGGGAACCCCUUCUUCCCCUUUAGGGGACUCCGUCUUCUUUAGUUCCCCUAAAGGGGAUGAAGAAGUUCCCCUUCGGGGAGGAACACCCCUUUGGUUCUUCCCCUUCGUUUUCUUCCCCAAAGGGGAACCCCUUCUUCAUCCCCUUUAGGGGAACUAAAGGGGACUCCGUCUUCUUUAGUUCCCCUAAAGGGGAUGAAGAAGUUCCCCUUCGGGGAGGAACACCCCUUCGUUUUCUUCCCCAAAGGGGAACCUUCUUCCCCUUUAGGGGACUCCGUCUUCUUUAGUUCCCCUAAAGGGGAUGAAGAAGUUCCCCUUCGGGGAGGAACACCCCUUCGUCUUCCCCUUUGGUGAUAACGAAGAAGAUGAACCCCUUCUUCUUCCCCUUCGUUUUCACCCCUUUAGGGGAACUAAAGGGGACUUCUUCCCCUUUGGUUCAUCCCCUUUAGUUCCCCUAAAGGGGAUGAACUAAAGGGGACGAACCCCUUCGUUUUCUUCCCCGAAGGGGNNN